UACGGGGGGGGGCAAGCGUUGUUCGGAAUUACUGGGCGUAAAGGGCUCGUAGGUGGCCAACUAAGUCGGACGUGAAAUCCCCGGGCUUAACCUGGGAACUGCGUUUGAAACUACAAGGCUAGAGUGUGGCAGAGGGGGGUGGAAUUCCACGUGUAGCAGUGAAAUGCGUAGAGAUGUGGAGGAACACCGAUGGCGAAGGCAGCCCCCUGGGCUGAGAUUGACGCUCAGGCACGAAAGCGUGGGGAGCAAACAGG
Molecule: ribosomal RNA, 254 nt
Filed under: uncultured bacterium
Lineage: Bacteria
Description: partial 16S ribosomal RNA
Rfam family: Bacterial small subunit ribosomal RNA
Source: RNAcentral